RNAcentral lists this transfer RNA (71 nucleotides) under Eleutheronema tetradactylum (Indian salmon). RNAcentral describes it as "tRNA-Pro". It matches the Rfam family "tRNA". Rfam says of the family: Transfer RNA (tRNA) molecules are approximately 80 nucleotides in length. Their secondary structure includes four short double-helical elements and three loops (D, anti-codon, and T loops). RNAcentral also lists the same sequence under 1 other name. The record is from RNAcentral. Lineage: Eukaryota; Metazoa; Chordata; Actinopteri; Polynemidae.
CAAGGAAUAGUUUAAUAUGAGAAUCCUAGCUUUGGGGGCUAGGGGUAGGAGUUAAAGUCUCCUUUUCUUGA